This 459-nucleotide ribosomal RNA is filed under the name uncultured bacterium. RNAcentral's name for it is "partial 16S ribosomal RNA". It matches the Rfam family "Bacterial small subunit ribosomal RNA", at positions 338 to 795 of the family's 1533-position model. The record is from RNAcentral.
CCUACGGGUGGCAGCAGUGAGGAAUAUUGGUCAAUGGUCGGGAGACUGAACCAGCCAAGCCGCGUGAGGGAGGAAGGUACAGAGUAUCGUACACCUCUUUUGUCAGGGCACCAAGACUGGGACGCGUCCCCGGAUUAGUGUACCUGAAGAAAAAGCAUCGGCUAACUCCGUUCCAGCAGCCGCGGUACUACGGAGGAUGCUAGCGUUAUCCGGAUUUAUUGGUGUUAACGGGUGCGCGGGCGGUCUGUUAAGUCAGCGGUCAAAGCCCGGGGCUCAACCCCGGCCCGCCGUUGAAACUGGCAGUCUCGAGUUGGAGAGAAGUAUGCGGAAUGCGCGGUGUAGCGGUGAAAUGCAUAGAUAUCGCGCAGAACUCCGAUUGCGAAGGCAGCAUGCAGGCUCCACACUGACGCUGAGGCACGAAAGCGUGGGUAUCGAACAGGAUUAGAUACCCGUGUAGUC